CCCACUGCACAUUAUCUCCUCUUCUACAACCAGACUUAAUCAUAGAACCUCAGCCAAACUACACCUUAGACCAUGCCGCGUCCAGUUCUAACACCCAACCUUCACUACACAUCCAUGCAGGAAAAUAUCCAAGCAAACAACCAAUUAUUCCAUCUUCCACGACUGAUCAUGCAGGGACCCCAGAUACCUCACAUCUCCACUCCAACCUAUAAUUCU
RNAcentral lists this long non-coding RNA (216 nucleotides) under Nicotiana benthamiana. RNAcentral describes it as "long non-coding RNA (NBEN_LNC002399)". Lineage: Eukaryota; Viridiplantae; Streptophyta; Magnoliopsida; Solanales; Solanaceae. The record is from RNAcentral.